Molecule: non-coding RNA, 415 nt
Organism: Pelobates cultripes (western spadefoot toad)
Lineage: Eukaryota; Metazoa; Chordata; Amphibia; Anura; Pelobatidae
Source: the annotation of a GenBank genome assembly
CGUAAAUAAAAUAUUUUUUUUUAAUAAUUUGCAGAGAAUCCUUUGCAGGUAAUGACUGUAACUAAUGGACGUCACCAAACACUGGGUUUCCUCCUUUGCGAUGCUAGACCUUUACUGUAGCUGCCUUCAGUCAUUGUUUGUUCGUGGGUCUUUCUGAAGUUAUGUCUUCAGCAAGUAAAAUGCAUGCUUGAUCGGGUUGAGAUCAGGUGAUUGCAGAAUAUUCCACUUCUUUGCCUAAACCCUUCCUGUAGUUUGGAUGUGAAUACCCUCAAAUUAAAGCAGAGAGAUUGAACUUUAAGUCCAUAUUCUUUGUUUAACUGUAACAAAUGUAUUUUGGCAAACAGCUGAAAUAACAAAACAUAUGUCAGGGUACAAAUAGUUCCGAACCUAACUGUAUAUUAGUCAUUGGAAGUAG